UCCCUGGUGGUCCAGUGGCUAAGACUCUGAGCUUCCAAUGCAGGAGGCUCAGGUUCGAUUUCUGGUCAGGGAA
Molecule: transfer RNA, 73 nt
Filed under: Ovis aries (sheep)
Lineage: Eukaryota; Metazoa; Chordata; Mammalia; Artiodactyla; Bovidae
Rfam family: tRNA
About the family: Transfer RNA (tRNA) molecules are approximately 80 nucleotides in length. Their secondary structure includes four short double-helical elements and three loops (D, anti-codon, and T loops). Further hydrogen bonds mediate the characteristic L-shaped molecular structure. tRNAs have two regions of fundamental functional importance: the anti-codon, which is responsible for specific mRNA codon recognition, and the 3' end, to which the tRNAs corresponding amino acid is attached (by aminoacyl-tRNA synthetases). tRNAs cope with the degeneracy of the genetic code in two manners: having more than one tRNA (with a specific anti-codon) for a particular amino acid; and 'wobble' base-pairing, i.e. permitting non-standard base-pairing at the 3rd anti-codon position.
Source: Rfam by way of RNAcentral